GCAUCAGUUCACAUCUACACCCACCAAAUUUAAGAGAGAGGGAGGAAGCAGUGAGAGGGAGACGAGCAAUGAAAAAGGGGAGCCGUCAUCCCUGUCGACUCCGGUAAUGGCAGCGCCGUAGUUGUGGUCCGGGUCCGACAACGGACGUUAGCAGCAGGUUGAUAGUGAGCAGAGAACAGAGGCAUCCCGCAUCAGGAGGAAAGAGUGUUGUAAAAGUCGCCGGUGACGGUGGAACCGGCAGCAGCAGUAGUAGUGAUGGUGGUAAUUAUUCAUGGCUCCGACGGUGGCUGACCGGAGCAGCAGCUACGGAGGUGACGGCGGGUCUCGGCUGGGAUGGUAACGGCUCGACGGCGUCGGGACCAAGACGAAACUGGUUGUUAGGUAUUUAUGGAGCUUGCACGAGGAGACGUGAUCGUUGUGGGGCAUGGACAGUGGUGUGCCAUGUUAAACAUUUGAAACAUUUAGACUUACGCUUUGGUUGUCAAUAUUUUGCUUCCGCUUACAACUUAACUAUGUUUUGAUUGGACACCAAUUAUAUUGUGUUGGAUUUUAUAUUUACGUA
Molecule: long non-coding RNA, 562 nt
Organism: Helianthus annuus (common sunflower)
Lineage: Eukaryota; Viridiplantae; Streptophyta; Magnoliopsida; Asterales; Asteraceae
Exons: 2
Source: RefSeq, a predicted model, not a curated record